This 46-nucleotide non-coding RNA is filed under the name Trypanosoma brucei brucei. The record is from RNAcentral. Lineage: Eukaryota; Euglenozoa; Kinetoplastea; Trypanosomatida; Trypanosomatidae.
AAUUAUUAAACAAGAAGAGAUCACAUAAAGAGUGAAGUGAAGAUAU